GUCUUAGGUUUAAAUGGCUCCUCGGCCACUUAUGGAAUGGUAUGGAAAAAGGAUUGGUUAUUGAAUGGCAUGCCCCCUAAAAUGUGAUAUAGCAGGGUGAAGAAUACUCACCCUGUGACUUUGGUUUAAUUUUGAUUGGUUGACUAGAUUAGGAGUCUAUUAAGAUUAAUAGGUGUAAAUUCUCCUUUGUUUUAAAUCGGUUUUUGUGUUGUUUUUUUUUUUAAUGCUCUCUUGGAAAAUGGGUCUGUGGUUACUGAGAGCAUCAAGAAUCAGAAAGAUAUUUGGAAUAUAGUCAGAAUUGCCUAGAAGAGUAUAGUCUAAACAUUAAACCCCAUCAAUAAGGUUUUAAAUUAGGUCAUUUUAAAAUACCUCACAAAAUAGUUCUGGCCAUUUUCUCACAAUUAGGUUUAAUUAGGUUUUUAAUUUUUCUGUUCUUUUGUGCUCUGUAGUGCAUGAAGUCCAAGGCUGUCAGACCCAGUGUCUUACAGUCUACAACUGGAUUAUUAGCACUUUUGCCAGGAACACAA
Molecule: long non-coding RNA, 527 nt
Organism: Leopardus geoffroyi (Geoffroy's cat)
Lineage: Eukaryota; Metazoa; Chordata; Mammalia; Carnivora; Felidae
Exons: 2
Source: RefSeq, a predicted model, not a curated record